This 253-nucleotide ribosomal RNA is filed under the name uncultured bacterium. Its description in RNAcentral is "partial 16S ribosomal RNA". It matches the Rfam family "Bacterial small subunit ribosomal RNA", at positions 524 to 776 of the family's 1533-position model. The record is from RNAcentral.
UACGGAGGGGGCUAGCGUUGUUCGGAAUUACUGGGCGUAAAGCGCACGUAGGCGGGUCGUUAAGUCGGGGGUGAAAUCCUGGGGCUCAACCUCAGAACUGCCCUCGAUACUGGCGACCUUGAGUACGGGAGAGGUGAGUGGAAUUCCCAGUGUAGAGGUGAAAUUCGUAGAUAUUGGGAAGAACACCAGUGGCGAAGGCGGCUCACUGGCCCGUAACUGACGCUGAGGUGCGAAAGCGUGGGGAGCAAACAGG